UAUGUGAUCGUCUCUCGCAUAUCAAUAAGCGGAGGAAAAGAAACUAACAAGGAUUCCCCUAGUAACGGCGAGUGAAGCGGGAAGAGCUCAAAUUUGAAAUCUUAAAGGGUUUCCCUUUACGAAUUGUAGUUUAAAGAAGUGUUUUCUGUUGAGGUUUUGGUAAAAGUUCUUUGGAAUAGGACAUCAUAGAGGGUGAGAAUCCCGUAUUUGACCUUUACUUUCAACUUUGUGAUACACUUCCAAAGAGUCGGAUUGUUUGGGAAUGCAGUCCAAAAUGGGUGGUAAAUUUCAUCUAAAGCUAAAUAUUGGCGAGAGACCGAUAGCGAACAAGUACCGUGAGGAGAAAGAUGAAAAGAACUUUGAAAAGAGAGUUAAACAGUACGUGAAAUUGUCAAAAGGGAAGCGUUUGACACCAGUGUUGUUUUUCUGAAAAUCAAUUAAAGAACUGUUUAUGCUAAGUUGUUUAGACUUUAUCAGCUAACUGUUUAGUUUUGAGCUUUUCUUUAAUGCACUUUUCAGUUAACAAGUCAACAUCAAUUUCUUUUGCUGUAAAAAAGCUUGAGGAAGGUGGCUUGAGAUUCGUCUUAAGUGUUUAUAGCCUCUUGCCUAUGCAGUCGGAGAGAUUGAGGUCUGCAGCGUAGAUCCUUCGGGGCUAAAUGCAUUUGUGCUAAGUUAUAGCAUUUUAUAGACAACUUGUUGACUAUGAUUUGUCUUGUAGCUUACUCGCUUAUGUUAUUUUACCUACGCUUAGGAUGUUGAUCUACAGAGCGAGAGU
This 775-nucleotide ribosomal RNA is filed under the name uncultured Neocallimastigales. Its description in RNAcentral is "partial large subunit ribosomal RNA". It matches the Rfam family "Eukaryotic large subunit ribosomal RNA", at positions 24 to 631 of the family's 3401-position model. The record is from RNAcentral. Lineage: Eukaryota; Fungi; Neocallimastigomycota; Neocallimastigomycetes; Neocallimastigales.